Molecule: transfer RNA, 72 nt
Filed under: Exophiala sideris
Lineage: Eukaryota; Fungi; Ascomycota; Eurotiomycetes; Chaetothyriales; Herpotrichiellaceae
Description: tRNA-Gln (TTG) (tRNA-Gln-TTG-1-1)
Rfam family: tRNA
About the family: Transfer RNA (tRNA) molecules are approximately 80 nucleotides in length. Their secondary structure includes four short double-helical elements and three loops (D, anti-codon, and T loops).
Source: RNAcentral
GGUUUUGUAGUGUAGUGGUGAUCACUCCGGAUUUUGAUUCCGGCAACCCCGGUUCGAACCCGGGCAAGGUAA